RNAcentral lists this ribosomal RNA (468 nucleotides) under uncultured bacterium. Its description in RNAcentral is "partial 16S ribosomal RNA". It matches the Rfam family "Bacterial small subunit ribosomal RNA", at positions 28 to 507 of the family's 1533-position model. The record is from RNAcentral.
GACGAACGCUGGCGGCGCGCCUAACACAUGCAAGUCGAACGGAGCUGAGAGAAGCUUGCUUUUCUUAGCUUAGUGGCGAACGGGUGAGUAACGCGUGAGUAACCUGCCCUGGAGUGGGGGACAAAAGUUGGAAACGACUGCUAAUACCGCAUAAGCCCACGAUCCGGCAUCGGAUUGAGGGAAAAGGAUUUAUUCGCUUCAGGAUGGACUCGCGUCCAAUUAGCUAGUUGGUGAGGUAACGGCCCACCAAGGCGACGAUUGGUAGCCGGACUGAGAGGUUGAACGGCCACAUUGGGGCUGAGACACGGCCCAGACUCCUACGGGAGGCAGCAGUGGGGGAUAUUGCACAAUGGGGGAAACCCUGAUGCAGCGACGCCGCGUGGAGGAAGAAGGUUUUCGGAUUGUAAACUCCUGUCGUUAGGGACGAUAAUGACGGUACCUAACAAGAAAGCACCGGCUAACUACGUG